GUGGGGAAUCUUGCACAAUGGGGGCAACCCUGAUGCAGCGACGCCGCGUGAGCGAUGAAGGUUUUCGAAUCGUAAAGCUCUGUCCUAUGGGAAGAUAAUGACGGUACCAUAGGAGGAAGCCCCGGCUAACUACGUGCCAGCAGCCGCGGUAAUACGUAGGGGGCGAGCGUUGUCCGGAAUUACUGGGCGUAAAGGGUUCGCAGGCGGCAUGGCAAGUCCGAUGUAAAAGGCGAAGGCUUAACCUUCGUAAGCAUCGGAAACUGUCAAGCUUGAGUGAAGGAGAGGCAAGUGGAAUUCCUAGUGUAGCGGUGGAAUGCGUAGAUAUUAGGAGGAAUACCGGUGGCGAAGGCGACUUGCUGGACUUCAACUGACGCUGAGGAACGAAAGCGUGGGUAGCAAACAGGA
Molecule: ribosomal RNA, 405 nt
Filed under: uncultured bacterium
Lineage: Bacteria
Description: bacterial SSU rRNA
Rfam family: Bacterial small subunit ribosomal RNA
Source: RNAcentral